AGGGUUUGAUCCUGGCUCAGAACGAACGCUGGCGGCAUGGAUUAGGCAUGCAAGUCGAACGAGAAAGCGACUUCGGUCGUGAGUAAAGUGGCGCAAGGGUGAGUAAUGCAUGGACAACCUACCCCCAAGCCGGGGAUAACCACCCGAAAGGGUGACUAAUACCGGAUGUGGUGGGAAGACUGUCUGGUUUUCUCAUUAAAGGUGGGGAUCCUUCGGGACCUUCCGCUUGGUGAGGGGUCCAUGUCCUAUUAGCUUGUUGGUGGGGUAACGGCCUACCAAGGCUUUGAUGGGUAGCCGACUUGAGAGGGUGAUCGGCCACACUGGAACUGAGACACUGUCCAGACUCCUACGGGAGGCUGCAGUCGAGAAUCAUUCCCAAUGGGCGCAAGCCUGAGGAUGCGAUGCCGCGUGGAGGACGAAGGCCUUCAAGGUUGUAAACUCCGGUCUCGUGUGAAGAACUGCACUGAAGAUAAUAUCAACAGUGCUUGACGUUAGCAUGAGAGAAGUUCCGGCUAACUACGUGCCAGCAGCCGCGGUAAUACGUAGGGAGCAAGCGUUGUUCGGAAUCACUGGGCAUAAAGAGCACGUAGGCUGCUCAGUUAGUCAGAUGUGAAAGCCCCUGGCUCAACCAGGGAAUUGCAUUUGAUACUGCUGGGCUUGAGGGCGGCAGGGGAGAGUGGAACUCGUGGUGGAGCGGUGAAAUGCGUAGAUAUCACGAGGAACACCGGUGGCGAAAGCGACUCUCUGGGCCGUUUCUGACGCUGAGGUGCGAAAGCCAGGGUAGCGAACGGGAUUAGAUACCCCGGUAGUCCUGGCCGUAAACGAUGGGCACUAGGUAGGGGGGAUACUGUCAUUUUCCUUGCCGGAUCUAAUUUUUUAAGUGCCCCGUCUGUUGAGUACGGUCGCAAGACUGAAACUCAAAGGAAUUGGCGGGGGUCCGCACAAGCGGUGGAGCAUGUGGUUUAAUUCGAUGAUAAGCGAGGAACCUUACCAG
RNAcentral lists this ribosomal RNA (994 nucleotides) under marine metagenome. Its description in RNAcentral is "bacterial SSU rRNA". It matches the Rfam family "Bacterial small subunit ribosomal RNA", at positions 8 to 977 of the family's 1533-position model. The record is from RNAcentral.